CAUAUCACUGACUGUAAGUCGCUUUGGAUAAAAGCAUCUGCUAAAUGGUAUUAC
This is a non-coding RNA of Salmo salar (Atlantic salmon), 54 nucleotides long. The record is from Rfam. NCBI's taxonomy places the organism in Eukaryota, Metazoa, Chordata, Actinopteri, Salmoniformes, Salmonidae.